Gracilinanus agilis (Agile Gracile Mouse Opossum) is the source of this 663-nucleotide long non-coding RNA. RefSeq lists it as uncharacterized. The record is from RefSeq and is a predicted model, not a curated record. The transcript has 3 exons. Lineage: Eukaryota; Metazoa; Chordata; Mammalia; Didelphimorphia; Didelphidae.
ACCCUGACUAUAUACCAGAGGAAGAGAUUCAAAAGAAGAUUCAGGACAUUGAGAAGGAGUUGGAUUCUUUAGAACUGAAAGGCAUAGACUUAGAGAAAAAGCUUCGGGAAGCUGAAGGGGAUGAAUCUGAAGAUGCCCUCAUGGUAGAAUGGUUCAAACUCAUCCAUGAGAAACAGCUGUUGUUGAGGCAGGAGUCAGAGCUGAUGUACAAGGCCAAGGAGCAGCGCCUGGAGGAGAUACAGCUUGAUAUUGCCGAUGAACUUCGCCGUUUGAUAGAAAAACCAGGUAUGUAGAUGACCAGGCCUCUUAGCUUCCUCCUAGCUCCUGUAUGCAGAGAAAGGGAGAAGAUUACCUGAUCCCGAGGUGAAAUCUUAGAAUCAUACAAGUGUGAAAUAAAUGUACCUACAGUAGGACCUUGUUUUCUGCACAUUCAACACAUGCCAAUUCAGGCAUUCUCUAGUGGCAAUCAAAGAAAAUAAAGGUGGAAAAAUAAGUAAAUAAAUAAAAUAUCUAAAAAAUAACAAAAAUAAUAAAAGAAAGAAAAAAUAAAAACAUUUUAAUUAUGCACGAAAUCCACAUAAAGUCUCGUAGCUGUUCGUCCAAUCAUACUCAUUCUCACUCUGAGAAGCAUUGGUAUAAGUCGUUACACUAUUUUGCACCAAA